This 21-nucleotide non-coding RNA is filed under the name Caenorhabditis elegans. Lineage: Eukaryota; Metazoa; Nematoda; Chromadorea; Rhabditida; Rhabditidae. The record is from RNAcentral.
UUCAGCGUUAACAUGCCAAAU